This 253-nucleotide ribosomal RNA is filed under the name uncultured bacterium. RNAcentral describes it as "partial 16S ribosomal RNA". It matches the Rfam family "Bacterial small subunit ribosomal RNA", at positions 524 to 776 of the family's 1533-position model. The record is from RNAcentral.
UACGUAGGGGGCAAGCGUUGUCCGGAUUUAUUGGGCGUAAAGAGCGUGUAGGCGGCCAGGCAGGUCCGCUGUGAAAACUCGAGGCUCAACCUCGAGAGGUCGGUGGAAACCGUCUGGCUAGAGUCCGGAAGAGGAGAGUGGAAUUCCCGGUGUAGCGGUGAAAUGCGCAGAUAUCGGGAAGAACACCCGUGGCGAAGGCGGCUCUCUGGGACGGUACUGACGCUGAGAGACGAAAGCUAGGGGAGCGAAUGGG